This 253-nucleotide ribosomal RNA is filed under the name uncultured bacterium. Its description in RNAcentral is "partial 16S ribosomal RNA". It matches the Rfam family "Bacterial small subunit ribosomal RNA", at positions 524 to 776 of the family's 1533-position model. The record is from RNAcentral.
UACGUAGGGUACGAGCGUUGUCCGGAAUUAUUGGGCGUAAAGAGCUUGUAGGUGGCUUGUCGCGUCUGCCGUGAAAAUCCAGGGCUCAACCCUGGACGUGCGGUGGGUACGGGCUGGCUAGAGUGUGGUAGGGGAGACUGGAACUCCUGGUGUAGCGGUGAAAUGCGCAGAUAUCAGGAAGAACACCGAUGGCGAAGGCAGGUCUCUGGGCCAUUACUGACACUGAGAAGCGAAAGCAUGGGGAGCGAACAGG